This is a non-coding RNA of Nicotiana tabacum (common tobacco), 1596 nucleotides long. Lineage: Eukaryota; Viridiplantae; Streptophyta; Magnoliopsida; Solanales; Solanaceae. The record is from RefSeq and is a predicted model, not a curated record.
GUAUUUAUCUAAUUUCUUAGUUUUUCAUCUUUUUCCUCUAAUUUUAAUUCAACAUAAUUAAUUAUUAAAUCUGAAUAUUAGGUUCAAUUACAUCCCCUAAUAAUGAGGAAACAGAGAAGGCAACGGUUUCAAAAUUCUCAGAAAAUUUUCUAGCCAAAAUUUGUAUCUGGACAUCCAAAAGUCGCCAUAUGAAACGCACCUUUAUUGAAGAAAACAAAAGUGCUCCUUCGUAACAACAAUAAAAGCAACAAAAAGUACCGCAGUUAACAUUCCACUCUCCCUCCUACAGCCUACAGGGUUUUGAUCUACUAAGAACGAGCGGAUAUAUCUGAAUAUAGGUGGAAGAAUCGUUAGCAGAGGCAUCUCUCUUUUGAACCAUUUCUUCAAAAAGUGAAAAGGCACCUUCUCUUGAUGAUUUUUUCCACGGCUCAGUUUGUUUUCACAUCCUCGCAGUCUAAGGUAUAUACUCCACAAAAUUAUUAAACUCCUGCUUUUGAAAGUUAAAGUUCUCUCUUGCAAUGUUAGGUCCACGUUAAUUAUCUUUUUCUUUUUAUUUCUAUCCACUUUAUUCGGUGCCCGAAACUCUAAUUAGUUGAAGUGUUGACAGCUCAUUGGCAGACUUUCAUUGUUUGUCACUUGAACAAUAUGUGUGUGUAAAUAUUUUAACAAAUACGUAUUUUUUUUAAGUUACAAUCAUUGUAAAAAAAAUAAAAUAAUAAUAAUAAUAAUAAUUUAGUGGGGGAGAUUAUAUUCUUGUAAAAGCUUCUGCUUCUUCUUCUUAUCUUACUGAUAUCCUUAUUUUUUGGCUUUAAUUCACUUCAUUUAAUGUGCGUGUCUCUUUAGAUGUAUGUUUUCAAAAAUACCUAAUUUUUAUUUUUUCCUAUAUUGGUAAUUUUUUGGUCUAUAGCACCUAAAUGCAACUUCGAUCCCGUGCAGAAAUAGAUACCAUGCUUAAUGUAAUCUGCAAUAUGGAUCUAGAAUAAUCAGUUUUCGCGGUGUUAUUCCUGGCUAGAACCAACAUAAGACUACACGAUCACGGGCACAACAUAGAUGAUAGGGACUAAACAGCUGCAUAAUGGGUGAGAUGGCUAGAAUCCGGAGAGUGCAACUUUAAUUUCAAGAAGUUUUGAUGAAUGAUCGUAAAACUAUUUCAUUUGGAAGUUGAAAAGUGAUGCUUAAUGUGAGAAAGAGACAACAAGAUCAAUGGUGAAACAAUUGACUUGUAAUGUUGCAAGCUUUCUUUUAUUGUAGUUGUGUAGAUAUAUUGGAACUCAAAUUACUUUGAAUCUUAGUAUUGAGGACUACAGAUUACUACAAGAUUGACAACAAUGAAAAGUUUCGGGAUGAAAUGGAAGGAAAGGAAAGGAAAAGAACAUGCGGAUGGUUUUUGCUGCUGAAAAAUGAGUAUUUUUCUUUGUUGCACACACCUUAAAAACCAAAGGCUGCCUUGUGAAAUAUGGAGUGAGCUAUAGUUAGGAUAUUAUUACUCUAGAAAAUGUAUUCAUUGGUUUGUCUUUUUUCUUUUCAAAAUUAAUUAUUUAAUUCGAUUUCGUUUGAUUUCUAAUUGUAGAAUUGGGAACGUAAUCAAUACUACAU